Molecule: long non-coding RNA, 2052 nt
Organism: Bombus impatiens (common eastern bumble bee)
Lineage: Eukaryota; Metazoa; Arthropoda; Insecta; Hymenoptera; Apidae
Exons: 2
Source: RefSeq, a predicted model, not a curated record
UAAGAAACGGACGAAUCUUUAAGAAUUUUUCAUAAACUUUCAGUAGAAUGAUUAACGAUUAGUCUAUUAGCAAAUGUAGUUACGGAAUAUGUCGAAUGCUGAGUUCAAACACACGAUGUAUGCUCUGGUCAGUGGAAUUAUUCCGGAGGUCAAAGGUCUAACUCGUACAAGACACGGUCAGAAAAAUCCACGAGCUUAUGGUCAUCACGUGGCACACACGCCAGGAACAUAGAAAAACUACGAAAAAAGAGUGCAAAGGCGAAGGUCGGGUAAAAUCGUUCCUGUUGUUUCGCCGCGAGAUUUCACGAGCCAACGAAGCAGGAAGAUAUCGCGUAGCUUCUGUUAUCACAAGCGGAGCGGCGAAGAAGAGGCACAAGUAAGGUUAAGAAAAAAGAAACGAGCCAUAACCUCGAGUGACAUGAUUGCUAGGGUCGCGUUAUUACUAGGCUAAUGACGCAAUUGUAUCGCGAUGCGCAUCGCAGGGGGUCUCCGUUGUCAUUGUUGUUUUCCACUUUGAACGUUGCACACGCAUCCUCUUUUCUUCGCUCUCUCUCUCUCUUUCUCUCUCUCUCUCUCCCUUUUCUACUCUCCGCUUUUUCAUUCCGUCGACCAGAACCCAAUGUGUCUCGCUUAGAUUCUCUGUUUUCAUCGUGGUACGCGAUCCAAGUUAUUUCAUGGAUUAUCAAGAAUCGACGUCAAUGACGCGUGCUCGAUUUCUCAGAGGCGCGUGAUGAUGAAAUCUCACCAUCUAAUUACUCGCCAUCGAUCGGAAUUUUCAAGCGUCGCGCUCAAACAGCUCGAGAGAAACAGUUUUUGCGCGUUUCGGUGUUUCCGUGAUCUAUGCGCGUCCUUGUCGAUCAAUGGAAGAGGCGUAAGAUUUACAAUCAGACGCAUACGAAUUUCGUGGCUAGUUUCGUCGAAGGUACGACAACAUGCGAUACAUGAUAGGAAAGCGAACGAAAAAUGUACCGAUAGCCCUAUAAUAGCUUUGAUAACCCUUUUCCCGGUCGACCGAUAGCCGGACCAGUUGAAAUAAUGAAUUUCAUCCUCCACUCGAUAUUAUUCUUCUCAGCUUCCACACGCGGAUGGCUGGAGCCUAUCAACGAUUAGAUAGAAGGGUUACUUGGACAAAAAAGACAUGGCAAAUACUGGAACAUUUGGAAUGGAAAUCACGCGACCGCUUCUCGUCGAUAAACUUCAAGUUCGAACAAACUGAAAUCGAAUCGAAUUAAAUCGCUGAAACGACGAAAUGAAGGUAACAAUCCAUGAAUGGAGGAGGGGAGGGCCAUGGAAGAUUUAGAACGACGAAGGAAUACUUUAUCUGAUGACUGUACGAAUUCCAAGAAACACCCCUCUCCCGUCUCAAUUUACCCGCUCGCGGCUCCUGUACAAAAGUAGGUUCUCGUCGGUUCCUCGUAAAACCCCCUACGUGCAUACUCGCACACCUACUUUUAUCAGGCCCACUCGUGCCUACACGUUCCACCGAGUGGGCACGCUUGUAUACGAGUCCGGUGUGACGAGUCAGCAGUAACCGAGAUUUCGACACGGACCUCCAGGUAUUCCCUGAUGUAGCUGCCAUCGACAAAUGGAGGUACCUAAUGAUCGUCAUUGCAUUCGCCGUAAAUUUUGCUUAUGUAGAACUGGCAGAGUAACUCGUACAGGGAGCACACGCAAAGACAAACAUUGAGAGAUACAAUUUCGAAUCGCUAUUGCAUCAGCUUCCCAUUCACAGACACGUGUACCAUCGUUCGAUAUUCGUAGUUUACAAAAAAUUUAGCUCUUCCUUCGAUAUUUUAAAUUAUCUUCUAUUCCCGAGAAGCAAUUUUUUUUUAUAUACUUAACGAAAUGACAUAUUUAUAUAAUUUCUAUGAAUGAUACUGGAAACAUACUACGACCUCGCUUGACAAACUAUCGUUUCAUAUAAAACGUUCAAUUACUUAAACUCUGUGUUCCACUAAUGUAAAAGUAUCGUUCUACGUGGACAUCGAUAUAGGUAAGUACUUUCGCAUAGGUAAGAGUUAUUCACGCGUGUUUCGUUUUAGCAUAAAAAAA